UUUUUUUUUUUUUUUUUCAAGAUACAAUUUUUUAGCAUUGGACAACAAUCACCAAAAUAAGAAAAGUAAAAUACCAAUCAUACCCUCAGAAUAUUACUAUAGAUGUGUAAGAACUAACAAGUAGCAAUUUGGAAUUCUCUAGAGGUUUACUUCCCUUGUCCUAAGUACUGCCAAACCUUACAUAUUUGGUAGCCUUUUCUAUCUUGUGCUGCGGGUCAUAAAAUCUCUUCUUUGCAUUUUGAAUUAUUAUUUAAGUGUUAAAUGUUUUUUUGUGAUUGUAAAUUGAUCUAUUUCCCCAUUCUGAUUCACAGCACCAUGCAAAGAACAAGAAAU
RNAcentral lists this unclassified non-coding RNA (333 nucleotides) under Hevea brasiliensis (rubber tree). Lineage: Eukaryota; Viridiplantae; Streptophyta; Magnoliopsida; Malpighiales; Euphorbiaceae. The record is from RNAcentral.